Molecule: long non-coding RNA, 1173 nt
Filed under: Androctonus crassicauda
Lineage: Eukaryota; Metazoa; Arthropoda; Arachnida; Scorpiones; Buthidae
Source: RNAcentral
AGUUCACGGAACACCAAUGUUCCGCGGAACGACGAUUGAGAACCACUGCACUAUAGUCUCUUUAUUAUAUUAUAAGCUCUUCGACCUUGAGCUAUUAUUAAUUCGGCGGCCGAAUUAUAACUAUAGAUAUCUUUGUUAUGCAUUUUACUUUUUAACAUCUACUCGAUGAUUAUAUUAAUCCGUUAACAGUGUAUGAGUGAAAUUAUUAACAGUGUAUAUUUUUCGGGGAUGCCAAAAAGGUAUCGUGCACCAGGCACCAAAAAGAUAUCAUGCCCUGGGUGCCAGUAAUGCUCGCUACACCACAGUUGUGUGAAGCCACAUCUGAAGGUAUGAAAGAGCUGCAUGAGGAUCACAAGCAGCAAUUUGGCCACAGUGAAUCAUAAUCUAUAUGAAUGAAUAGCAUUCAAAGUAAAAAUCUUGCCUUCCAUUAGAUUGUGUGCUUAGUGGGAUUGUGUUAGUGUGUGAUCCAUCAUAUAUAUUCCAAACAAAAAUCCAAUAUCUUUUUGAUUUCAUCAUUAGAAAUAUUCCUAUAUGUGUGUGUUUGAUGAUGGUAGUGGUGCCUUUACUCAUUUUCAGUUGUUUUCGUAUUUUGGGACUUCAAUGUAGUAAUCUUCAUGGUUCUGUGUCUUUCCAACAUAGGAUGUGUUGUCUACUAUUGUGUAGUAACCAUUUUGGCUUUAAAGUUCUACAAGCUUUCUUCAAUGUAUAUUAUCAUGUAUUUUUCAUCUAAUUCUUGUUUUAUCUUUGCUAUCAAGUGGAUAGCUUUUUUAUUUACUUUGUUUGUUAAAGUUAGUGCAGAUGCUCUGGAAUCCUGGAUGGUGAUAAUUAUUAUUUUACUUUUCCCUAGUGAUCAGCCCCAUUAUGGCAAUACUAUCUUAUGACUGGACUCUUAUUUGCCCUCAUCUUUCCUAGAUCUUUAUCACUUAAAUCCCCUUAAUCUCCUAUAUUUGGAGUUAUACUUCUUGAAUAUGCCAUUCUAUUUCCUUUUGGUUUACUAUCCAUAAAUUAAUAUUUUUGUAUGAAUUUAAUAAUUGUUUGUCAAAUACCAUAGCAAUAAAAUCAAAAAUAUUACAGUACAAUACUGAAUACAAGUAGCCCUCAGUUUAUGCCAGCUCAAUUUACACAGAUUUACAAUAAUGCUAAUGCCCAACUUGCCGUUUCAACAUGUAAUUC